RNAcentral lists this ribosomal RNA (487 nucleotides) under uncultured bacterium. RNAcentral describes it as "bacterial SSU rRNA". It matches the Rfam family "Bacterial small subunit ribosomal RNA", at positions 1 to 507 of the family's 1533-position model. The record is from RNAcentral.
UUUGACUCCGUGGCUCGAGGACGAACGCUGGCGGCGUGCUUAACACAUGCAAGUCGAACGAUGAAGCUGGAGCUUGCUCCGGUGGAUUAGUGGCGAACGGGUGAGUAACACGUGAGCAAUCUGCCCUUGACUCUGGGAUAACUGCGGGAAACUGUAGCUAAUACCGGAUAUUUUCCCUGGUGGGCAUCCACUGGGGAAGAAAGAAUUUCGGUCAAGGAUGAGCUCGCGGCCUAUCAGCUAGUUGGUGAGGUAAUGGCUCACCAAGGCGACGACGGGUAGCCGGCCUGAGAGGGUGACCGGCCACACUGGAACUGAGACACGGUCCAGACUCCUACGGGAGGCAGCAGUGGGGAAUAUUGCACAAUGGGCGAAAGCCUGAUGCAGCAACGCCGCGUGAGGGACGAAGGCCUUCGGGUUGUAAACCUCUUUUAGCAGGGAAGAAGCGAAAGUGACGGUACCUGCAGAAAAAGCACCGGCUAACUACGUG